GAUGAACGCUGGCGGCGUGCUUAACACAUGCAAGUCGAGCGAGAGAGUUCUUCGGAACAAUCUAGCGGCGGACGGGUGAGUAACACGUGGGCAACCUGCCUCAUAGAGGGGAAUAGCCUUCCGAAAGGAAGAUGAAUACCGCAUAACAUCGUUGAAGGGCAUCCUGCGAUGAUCAAAGGAGCAAUCCGCUAUGAGAUGGGCCCGCGGCGCAUUAGCUAGUUGGUGAGGUAACGGCUCACCAAGGCGAGGAUGCGUAGCCGUCCUGAGAGGGUGAUCGGCCACAUUGGGACUGAGACACGGCCCAGACUCCUACGGGAGGCAGCAGUGGGGAAUACUGCACAAUGGGGGAAACCCUGAUGCAGCAACGCCGCGUGAGUGAUGACGGCCUUCGGGUUGUAAAGCUCUGUCUUUGGGGACGAUAAUGACGGUACCCAAGGAGGAAGUCACGGCUAACUACGUGCCAGCAGCCGCAGUAA
Molecule: ribosomal RNA, 476 nt
Filed under: uncultured bacterium
Lineage: Bacteria
Description: partial 16S ribosomal RNA
Rfam family: Bacterial small subunit ribosomal RNA
Source: RNAcentral